UACGAAGGGGGCUAGCGUUGUUCGGAAUUACUGGGCGUAAAGCGCGCGCAGGCGGUCUUCCAAGUCAGUGGUGAAAGCCCGGAGCUCAACUCCGGAACUGCCAUUGAAACUGUAAGACUUGAGGAUGAGAGAGGUGAGUGGAAUUCCCAGUGUAGAGGUGAAAUUCGUAGAUAUUGGGAAGAACACCGGUGGCGAAGGCGGCUCACUGGCUCAUUACUGACGCUCAGGCGCGACAGCGUGGGGAGCGAACAGG
Molecule: ribosomal RNA, 253 nt
Filed under: uncultured bacterium
Lineage: Bacteria
Description: partial 16S ribosomal RNA
Rfam family: Bacterial small subunit ribosomal RNA
Source: RNAcentral